UUUUUUUUUUUUUUUUGCUUUUUAGGGCUGCACCCAUGGCAUAUGGAGGUUCCCAGAUAAAGGGUCCAAUCAGAGCUGUAGCUGCUGGCCUACACCACAGCCACAGCAACUCAGGAUCUGAGCCACGUCUGUAACCUACACCACAGCUCACAGCAACGCCAGAUCCUUAACCCACUGAGUGAGGCCAGGGAUCAAACCCAUGUCCUAAUGGAUACUAGUCAGGUUUGUUACCACUGAACCACAAUGGGAACUCACUUUUUUUUCAUGAUUAUUAUACUACACAUUCUGUACUUGGAUUUCAACAGUUAACAUAUUAGAACUACUUUUCAGUGUUUUUUUAAUAAUCAUUAUGAUUCAGUUUAUGUCGUUAUAUUAUUCAUUCUUAUGGAUGAAAUAAUUUGCUUAACUACUGUACUAUUAAAUACCAGGCUGCAUCCAUUAUUUUCCUAUUGUAUGUGUAUAAAAACCUACCUUCAGCAUCAUCAUGAACCCAGAUUUUAGCAUGCUUCUAAUUACCUUCUUAGGAAAUAUAUCCAGAUGUGGAAGUACUGGGUAGUUAAGAGUGAGUUUUAUAAUCCACUUUUUGAAAAAUCUAAAAUGUUUCUAAUAUUUAUCCAAGCACUGUGUGUUACUAGGUUGUUAGUCCUUAAAAUCAGUGAUAAACUAAAUCUCACCUUUUAAACUCUCCCUUGCAACAGGUUACUGUCAAUUACCCAACAGCUCUGCAUGGAGUUAACAGAUUAGAAAUUUCAACUUGUACCCUUAUUAUAAAUUACUUAUCUGACAAUAAUGUUAUCAAGUUACUUUAUUUGGCACAAUGAGUAUUAUACAGAAAAAUACAAUGUUUGCCGGCAUAACAGAGAACUUCUGUUUUGCCAAGAAGAUUAAAAUGGAUGAUUUUUAUAGUUUCAAGUAGAUUCUGUGGAGAGGUUUCCUAGCCGCAGCUGGAUCAAGCAAAGCCACCAUGGAACAAUACCAAUUUUAAUUGCAUGUGCUCUGCCCUAAAAGCUUAAAAGCUAAAGCUACAGAAAGCUAGACAUUUUAACUACUUUUUUUUUUAAAUGUACUGAAAUAUUGAACCAACACAUACUUACAUAAUAAAAAUCCCUUUCGCUCUAGUCUGGCAUUUUGUGAAAUGCUACAGGAAAAAAAAAUUUUAGAACGGGAAAGGAAUUUAGAAAUAAUAAUUUCAUCCAAUGCCUUACUUUAUAGAUGAAGAAAAUGAGGCCAAGUAUGUUUAAAACCCUUUUUAAGACUUAGAAAAUUCAUGCCAAAGUCAGACUAGAACUGAGUCUCCCCACUCCUAGUUCCCCUUUGUGUCUACUUUUGAGAUUUGAGAAAUGGUAUGGUGAAGUCCAGAAAGACUAGAUCUGGGAAAAGGAAGGAACUUUAGUCAUAGGAACCAGGCCUCAUUUAUGUCAAAUAUAUGUGAUAUUAAAAAUUUCGGAUAAAGGCGAAAAGGGAGGCUAAUAAACUUGUUGGUGUGUCUUAGUCAUCAUAUGGGCAAGAUCAUGUGCCCAUAGUGUUAAUCUGGGUCACAGAAUUUACGGUUAGGAUCACCCAGUAUACAGUAAGUGGUAAUAGGUUCUUCUCGACUACCUAAAAUAGUAUUAAUUAAGUAAUUAUUUUCUUCUCUAAGGGACAAUUCAUUAAUGUAGGUAUAGGCCGAAUCCAAGUUUCAAAUGACUGAAAGUUGGACACUGUUAUCAGAGGUGAAGACCUGUCUGAAUGUUUCACGAGGCUGUACAGUCACUGUGAUGCAGUGUUACUGAGUGUAGCCCAUGGACCAAUAACAUCAGCUUCACCUGGGAGCUUGUUAGAAACACAAAAAUCAGCCCACCUAGACCUAUCUGCAAGAAGAGCCCAAGAAGCCAUGCUUUAACAAGCUCUCCAGGUGAUACCCAUGCAUGCUAAAGUUUAAGAAGCAUUGUUCCGAUUGAGUCAUUUCAUACAUUGGGUUCAUAUGAGAAAUCUUUAAAAAUACUGAUGCCCGAGUCCUAUCCCAGAUUCACAUUUAAUUAGUCUGGGGUGUAGCCUGUGUUUUAUCAUGGUUGAGAAUCAACACUCCAACAAUUCAUUUGAAGCAUCUGUGUUGGUUCCUUUUUAUAAAAUUAUCAAAAACAGUCCAGCAGUUUCAUAUGAACAUGUUACAUAACCCAGAAAUCCCACUCAUAAAUAUCUCCCUGCCUCCCCCCUAAAUAACCAUACAUCUAUACCAAAACUUGUAGUGGAUACCCAUACCAGCUUUAAUCGUAAUAGUCAAACACUGGAAACAACCCAAAUUCACCAAAUAGUGAUGGAGAGGAAGUGAACUGUGCCAUAUCCAUAGAAUGGAUUACCAGGCAAAUUUGGAAGAAAGGAACACUUACAUAGGCAGCAGCAUGGAUUAAUCUGAAAAGCAUUUAGCAUGCUAAAUAAAAGAAAGAGGGCAUAAAAGAUUGAUUCAAUUCAUGCAAAAUUCUAAAAAAUGACAGAACUAUACUGACAAAAAAUGUAUCAUGGAUGGCCAGGAGCUGGGGCCAGUCUAGGGACUUGACUAUAAGACUCACAGAGGAACUUGUUGAGGUAAUGGGAAUAUUUUAUAUCUUGAUCUGGUGGUAGGUGAUUCCACGAUAGUAUGCAUUUAUCAAAACUCAUCAAAUAGUACAACAGAAUGUAUGAAUUUUAUCACAUGUAGAUUAUACUUCAGUGUAGCUUAAAAGAAAACAAAAAAAACAAAAAUUGUUGGCAGGAAACGCUGGCCAUUUCAUAUGUACCUUCUUUCUGGGCAUAGAGACUGUUUCAUGGACUGUAGCUUUUAUCUGAGAUCACCAAAUAUAUACCAGUCCUUAGCCUUUUGUAGCUCUCUUUUUUUAAAGUUAUUUAACAAGUCAGAUAUAAGUCUGGAGCUGCUGCUAACCAUCUAGCCACUAUGAUGGGAAGCCAGUCAGAAAAGAAGGCCAUAUUCUAUGAUUUCACAUUUAAUUCUUAUAACCACCCUAAGAGAGAGGUAUUAUUACCCCCACUUUAUGGGUAAGAAAACUGAGAUUCGUUUUCC
RNAcentral lists this long non-coding RNA (3037 nucleotides) under Sus scrofa (pig). RNAcentral's name for it is "lncRNA (ENSSSCG00045026042.1)". Lineage: Eukaryota; Metazoa; Chordata; Mammalia; Artiodactyla; Suidae. The record is from RNAcentral.